UUAAGCGACUAAGCGUACACGGUGGAUGCCCUGGCAGUCAGAGGCGAUGAAGGACGUGCUAAUCUGCGAUAAGCGUCGGUAAGGUGAUAUGAACCGUUAUAGCCGGCGAUUUCCGAAUGGGGAAACCCAGUGUGAUCCGUCACACUAUCAUUACGUGAAUACAUAGCGUAAUGAAGCGAACCGGGGGAACUGAAACAUCUAAGUACCCCGAGGAAAAGAAAUCAACCGAGAUUCCCCCAGUAGCGGCGAGCGAACGGGGAGCAGCCCAGAGUCUGAAUCAGCUUGUGUGUUAGUGGAACGGUCUGGAAAGUCCGACGGUACAGGGUGAUAGUCCCGUACACCAAAAUGCACAGGUUGUGAACUCGAAGAGUAGGGCGGGACACGUGGUAUCCUGUCUGAAUAUGGGGGGACCAUCCUCCAAGGCUAAAUACUCCUGACUGACCGAUAGUGAACCAGUACCGUGAGGGAAAGGCGAAAAGAACCCCGGCGAGGGGAGUGAAAAAGAACCUGAAACCGUGUACGUACAAGCAGUGGGAGCCUACUUGUUAGGUGACUGCGUACCUUUUGUAUAAUGGGUCAGCGACUUAUAUUCUGUAGCAAGGUUAACCGUAUAGGGGAGCCGAAGGGAAACCGAGUCUUAACUGGGCGUUAAGUUGCAGGGUAUAGACCCGAAACCCGGUGAUCUAGCCAUGGGCAGGUUGAAGGUUGGGUAACACUAACUGGAGGACCGAACCGACUAAUGUUGAAAAAUUAGCGGAUGACUUGUGGCUGGGGGUGAAAGGCCAAUCAAACCGGGAGAUAGCUGGUUCUCCCCGAAAGCUAUUUAGGUAGCGCCUCGUGAAUUCAUCUUCGGGGGUAGAGCACUGUUUCGGCUAGGGGGUCAUCCCGACUUACCAACCCGAUGCAAACUGCGAAUACCGAAGAAUGUUAUCACGGGAGACACACGGCGGGUGCUAACGUCCGUCGUGAAGAGGGAAACAACCCAGACCGCCAGCUAAGGUCCCAAAGUCAUGGUUAAGUGGGAAACGAUGUGGGAAGGCACAGACAGCCAGGAUGUUGGCUUAGAAGCAGCCAUCAUUUAAAGAAAGCGUAAUAGCUCACUGGUCGAGUCGGCCUGCGCGGAAGAUGUAACGGGGCUAAACCAUGCACCGAAGCUGCGGCAGCGACACUAAGUGUUGUUGGGUAGGGGAGCGUUCUGUAAGCCGUUGAAGGUGUGCUGUGAGGCAUGCUGGAGGUAUCAGAAGUGCGAAUGCUGACAUAAGUAACGAUAAUGCGGGUGAAAAACCCGCACGCCGGAAGACCAAGGGUUCCUGUCCAACGUUAAUCGGGGCAGGGUGAGUCGACCCCUAAGGCGAGGCCGAAAGGCGUAGUCGAUGGGAAACAGGUUAAUAUUCCUGUACUUGGUGUUACUGCGAAGGGGGGGACGGAGAAGGCUAUGUUAGCCGGGCGACGGUUGUCCCGGUUUAAGCAUGUAGGCGGAGGUUCCAGGUAAAUCCGGUACCUUUUUAACGCUGAGGUGUGAUGACGAGGCACUACGGUGCUGAAGUAACAAAUGCCCUGCUUCCAGGAAAAGCCUCUAAGCAUCAGGUAACACGAAAUCGUACCCCAAACCGACACAGGUGGUCAGGUAGAGAAUACCAAGGCGCUUGAGAGAACUCGGGUGAAGGAACUAGGCAAAAUGGUGCCGUAACUUCGGGAGAAGGCACGCUGAUAUGUAGGUGAAGCGGUUUACCCGUGGAGCUGAAAUCAGUCGAAGAUACCAGCUGGCUGCAACUGUUUAUUAAAAACACAGCACUGUGCAAACACGAAAGUGGACGUAUACGGUGUGACGCCUGCCCGGUGCCGGAAGGUUAAUUGAUGGGGUUAUCCGUAAGGAGAAGCUCUUGAUCGAAGCCCCGGUAAACGGCGGCCGUAACUAUAACGGUCCUAAGGUAGCGAAAUUCCUUGUCGGGUAAGUUCCGACCUGCACGAAUGGCGUAAUGAUGGCCAGGCUGUCUCCACCCGAGACUCAGUGAAAUUGAACUCGCUGUGAAGAUGCAGUGUACCCGCGGCAAGACGGAAAGACCCCGUGAACCUUUACUAUAGCUUGACACUGAACACUGGUCCUUGAUGUGUAGGAUAGGUGGGAGGCUUUGAAGUGUGGACGCCAGUCUGCAUGGAGCCAUCCUUGAAAUACCACCCUUUAAUGGCUGGUGUUCUAACGUGGACCCGUUACCCGGGUUGCGGACAGUGUCUGGUGGGUAGUUUGACUGGGGCGGUCUCCUCCUAAAGAGUAACGGAGGAGCACGAAGGUUAGCUAAUCCUGGUCGGACAUCAGGAGGUUAGUGCAAAGGCAUAAGCUAGCUUGACUGCGAGAGUGACGGCUCGAGCAGGUGCGAAAGCAGGUCUUAGUGAUCCGGUGGUUCUGAAUGGAAGGGCCAUCGCUCAACGGAUAAAAGGUACUCCGGGGAUAACAGGCUGAUACCGCCCAAGAGUUCAUAUCGACGGCGGUGUUUGGCACCUCGAUGUCGGCUCAUCACAUCCUGGGGCUGAAGUAGGUCCCAAGGGUAUGGCUGUUCGCCAUUUAAAGUGGUACGCGAGCUGGGUUUAGAACGUCGUGAGACAGUUCGGUCCCUAUCUGCCGUGGGCGCUGGAGAAUUGAGGGGGGCUGCUCCUAGUACGAGAGGACCGGAGUGGACGCAUCACUGGUGUUCGGGUUGUCAUGCCAAUGGCAUUGCCCGGUAGCUAAAUGCGGAAGAGAUAAGUGCUGAAAGCAUCUAAGCACGAAACUUGCCCCGAGAUGAGUUCUCCCUGAGACUAUAAGUCUCCUGAAGGAACGUUGAAGACGACGACGUUGAUAGGUCGGGUGUGUAAGUGUAGCGAUACAUUGAGCUAACCGAUACUAAUGAACCGUGAGGCUUAACCUU
This 2906-nucleotide ribosomal RNA is filed under the name Citrobacter freundii. RNAcentral describes it as "bacterial LSU rRNA". It matches the Rfam family "Bacterial large subunit ribosomal RNA". Lineage: Bacteria; Pseudomonadati; Pseudomonadota; Gammaproteobacteria; Enterobacterales; Enterobacteriaceae. The record is from RNAcentral.